GAUGAACGCUGGCGGCGUGCCUAACACAUGCAAGUCGAACGGAGUUAUUAUUAUGAAGUUUUCGGAUGGAUUAAUAAUAACUUAGUGGCGGACGGGUGAGUAACGCGUGGGUAACCUGCCUCAUACAGGGGGAUAACAGUUGGAAACGGCUGCUAAAACCGCAUAACAUUGCGAUGUCGCAUGACAAUGAAAUUAAAUAUUUAUAGGUAUGAGAUGGGCCCGCGUCUGAUUAGCUAGUUGGUGGGGUAAUGGCCUACCAAGGCGACGAUCAGUAGCCGGCUUGAGAGAGUGACCGGCCACAUUGGGACUGAGACACGGCCCAAACUCCUACGGGAGGCAGCAGUGGGGAAUAUUGCACAAUGGGGGAAGCCCUGAUGCAGCGACGCCGCGUGAGUGAAGAAGUAUUUCGGUAUGUAAAGCUCUAUCAGCAGGGAAGAAAAUGACGGUACCUGACUAAGAAGCCCCGGCUAACUACGUGCCAGCCGCCGCCGUAA
This 494-nucleotide ribosomal RNA is filed under the name uncultured bacterium. Its description in RNAcentral is "partial 16S ribosomal RNA". It matches the Rfam family "Bacterial small subunit ribosomal RNA", at positions 28 to 523 of the family's 1533-position model. The record is from RNAcentral.